AGUUUUGGGCUAUGUCUUAGACUAGGGAAACUCGGGGGAAGGGUACGCGCUAUUCAUUCAGAGAGGUUCUGCAGUUCCCCGUGGGCGGUGUCAACGGGCUGCUCAGCAAGGGCAACGAUGCCGAGAGGGUCGGGGGCUGCACGCUAGCGUACCUGCCGGCGGUUCUGGAGUACCUGGCCUCCGACACCCUGGAGUUGGCGGGCAACGCCGUCGGAACAAGAAGAAGACCCGCAUCAUCCCGCGCCACCUGCAGCUGGCCAUCCGCAACGACAAGGAGCUCGACAAGCUGCUGGCCCGAGUGACAAUGGCUUAGGGUGACGUUUUGCCCAACAUCCAAGCUGUGCUGCUGUCCCAAAGGAUUGGGAGCCACUACCACAAAGUCCAGUAUGAAUAACCACCCAAGUUGUAAAAGCCAGCGAAGUGACUUGA
This 429-nucleotide long non-coding RNA is filed under the name Homo sapiens (human). RNAcentral describes it as "non-protein coding lnc-HIST1H2BA-2:3". Lineage: Eukaryota; Metazoa; Chordata; Mammalia; Primates; Hominidae. The record is from RNAcentral.